AUAUUCUGUGCAAAAAUAGAGGAGCCAGCAAUACCAUCAGGUUAUACAUAUACCCAUAGAUUCAAGAAGCCUUUUAAAUUAUAAGAAACAUUGGGUUGAUGCAUCUUCAUUUAAAUAUCCAUAUAUUUCUUGAUAUGAAAAUUAUGUUAUCUUGAUAUAAAUCAAUAUAAUCAUGGUGGCAUCUUAUGUUAUCGUACAGAUUUCACACUAGACAUGAAAUACCCCUUUUGAACAAUUAUGAAACAACAGAAUAACAAGGACAAGCAUAUGACCCUUCAUGGGCAAAAAUAUUCG
This 294-nucleotide long non-coding RNA is filed under the name Hordeum vulgare. RNAcentral's name for it is "long non-coding RNA (HVUL_LNC016418)". The record is from RNAcentral. Lineage: Eukaryota; Viridiplantae; Streptophyta; Magnoliopsida; Poales; Poaceae.